Bos indicus x Bos taurus (hybrid cattle) is the source of this 718-nucleotide long non-coding RNA. Lineage: Eukaryota; Metazoa; Chordata; Mammalia; Artiodactyla; Bovidae. The record is from Ensembl.
GCAGACUCACUUUCACAAGAGGAAAUCAAUAGAUUCUUCAAGCGGUUGGACCACAGGAUGAUGCCUGGGCCUAUUUUGUCAACCAGGUGGCUCUGCUGAGGGAAGUCGGAUGAGUCAUUGUCGGCCAGAAAUGUAAAUCUGGCCUGAGGCUUCCCUUGCAGCAAAAUUUAGUUCUCAGUUGUUGCAAGCCACUGGCUGCCUUCUUCUGGACACACUUAAUUUUUCAGAUCAUGGCAAUGACAUGGUGAAAACAGCUUGGAGGUGAAUUUUGAAAGGCCUGUGUGAGUAAAUGUUCCUUGACUCUAAAUAUCUGUCGUAGGCUCAGGAAUGUGUUCUUACAAAAGAAUCUGUGAAGGACCUGUUUUGCUUACUCAAGGAUCUCAUUUGCUAAUAUAAUUCUGUGGUGAAAGCAAAAGAACCAGGUGUAAGUGGAAAAAAAACCUUAGUCACUAAGGCUUGUUUGGGCUGCUCAGUGAUGAACACUGGGGUGACAGGUUCUCCUGCCAUGGUGAAUCCUGGCAAGAUUCGUCUGGCUCUCCGGACAUUAUGCAGCCCCAGCAUAUGUGGGAGGACGCCUGAAAGAAGUUUCGUCCUCAGGGGUCUCUCCUCUCCACCUACACACCUUGGAGAGCCUUCACCAGGGUGUGAUGGUGGCAAGUCUGGGACGCAUUCAUCAGAAGGUCCUGCUCUCAGCAGAAAUUUGGAGCCUCCUGAGUGA